CCACCACUGCACAUCACAUUGGGCCUUAUGAAACCAUUUGUCAGAGCUGUAGAUAAGGAGUCGGCAGCCUUCAAGUAGCUUCAAGACUUCUUCCCUAAGCUGUCUGAGGCAAAGGUCAAAGCCGGUGUCUUCGUCGCACCACAGAUAAAGAAGAUCCUGGAGUGCAAUAAAUUCCCCAAGAAGCUCACUAUUAAGGAUAAAGCGGCUUGGGGACAGCUUUGUCGCAGUGGUUCGUGGCUUCCUGGGCAAUCACAAGGUCAAAAACUAUGUGGAGCUGGUUAAGACCCUGGUGAAGAACUACGGCACAAUGAGCUGUAGGAUGUCCCUCAUAGUCCAUAUCAUUGAUGCUCAUCUUGAUAAAUUCAAGGAAAACAUGGGAGCGUACUCGGAGGAGCAAGGCGAGCGCUUCUAUCAGGAUAUACUGGACUUUGAACGCCGCUGCCAAGGACAGUAUAACGAGAACAUGAUGGGAGACUACAUUAAGAGGCUGAUUCGUGAAAGUUAUUUACAGUAGAGUCGUAAAUCUGGAAAAACUACUCACUUCUAAAUCUUUUGUAGUAAUUUUUGUAUUACUUUAGUAUAAAUACAUGUUAGUUUUGAUUGAUGUUUUAUAUCACUGUCCUGGUCACAAAAGCAACGUUUUUGGGGAAUAAUAGCAAUUUUCUAUACUUUUUAAGCAUAAGCAAUUACGAAAUAACACUUACUAGCCAGGACCAAAAAUCGUGUUACAUCGUGUUAUUAAUUAAUCAAGGUAAUUACAUUCUUCGUAGCUAAUUAGCAACGCUCACUCUGCGGCACGAACCGCAAGCGCGCUCGCCUGUUAAGGACUUUCCCUCCUCGGUAAACAAUGUGUCCCACGCUGCACAUCACUCGCAGACAAAUAAACCCAAGUGAGCGGAAAAGUGAAAAUCUUAGAUGCAGUGGGCGUGUGGGGGGGGGGGGGUCCCCUUGUGACAGACGCAGCCGUUGAAGGGCCAGACGCUGGAGAGUGGUGAUGAGGUGUUUUUUGUUUCUGAGACAAGACAAAGCCCAUCGAACCACCUUGUAAGAAGGAUGGCAGAACACCCGAGGAUGUCUCGUACGGGGAGCUGGCAUCAGGCACACGGGCCACUGGUCGCCCGGUCCUGCGCUUCAAAGAUGUCUGUAAACGGGACAUGAAGAGCUGCGACAUCAACCCAAAUGACUGGGAAAAACUGCCGGCGACCGACUCAGCUUGUAGCAGGCUGUGAAAACAGGCCUCAGGAGAGGCGAGGAGAAAAGACGCACCGCUUGGUAGACCAAGAGGGAGCGACGUAAAGAACAAGCGACACACACCUCUGGAGCUGCCACCGCAUUCACCUGCAAUUGCUGUGGCAAGGAUUGCCACUCACGGAUUGGCCUACUAAGUCAUUCUAGGCGCUGCAAAACCUACAGCUGACCUCGUACGGCGCAAAAGAAUUGUCUCUCGAGACACAAAGGACUAUGAUGAUGAUGAGAGAGGUCACCAGACCCGUACGUCGGAUCGGCGAACGCGUUUGCCGGCUUGUGGAUCAGAGGUCGCAAACGGGUUUUGAUUCCUUACCCGUACCCGUACCCGGCCGCACCAGAGUCGCAAACGGGUACCCGUACCCUACCCGAUACCUGGCUACCCGUACCCGGCCGGGUUUCGGGUAGGGUACGGGAAUCGGGUAGGGUACGGGUAGGGUACGGGUAUCGGGUACCCGAUUGCGACCUCUGUUAUGGAUACACACGUGAACUUUCCCUUGAGGCCAUUGACUCACAUCAGCCCGUUACCUUCGACGGCGUCGCUCGCGACAAUACACUGUGUCACCAUCUCGGCAAACCGCGAGGUUUGGUGGCGGAGGAUGUAUUUUUUUCUGGUUGUUCCUAGGGGGAACGUCUCGAUGCGCUUCGUCUUCUCGGGAUGAAGACAAAAGGAAUCCCUUUGCAAAGUGCGCGCAGAGUAGGACGACAGCGAAAGGCAGUCAGCUGUUGGAGACGUCACGGAGACGCGUGCGCCUAAAGUGACGCCGCCGACGUUUCAUUUCACGGGCCGCUUCGAUCUCGCACCGCGGACAGCGCUCCAUCACCGCAAGAUGGGCACGAAAUUCUCCGUGAACUCGACAGCGGAUUCCCCCCCCACCCCCAACACCUCCACCAACCGCAUGCGCGAAGGAGUUCUAAAAAAGGUAAAAAGUUC
Long non-coding RNA from Lethenteron reissneri (Far Eastern brook lamprey), 2179 nucleotides. RefSeq lists it as uncharacterized. The record is from RefSeq and is a predicted model, not a curated record. Lineage: Eukaryota; Metazoa; Chordata; Hyperoartia; Petromyzontiformes; Petromyzontidae.